UCAUUAGGAAGAAUUAACACUUAAAGAUAGACUUUUUCUCUCAUUUCAUCCGCCGCCACCAACACCAUACCCUAACUCUUCCCACACCGACGAACACAAACGGCGACACCACGACCCCAUCACACUCCCACACGCCGACGACGAAAUCCGUGACGCGGUGGAUGAAACGGCGACACGGUGUAUAAGGAGGCGGUGUGGGCGACUUCGAUUUCGUCAAACCCUACGGUAAGUCGGAAGAAACUACCUCACUCGCCGGAAUCGGUCGAGAAAGGUUAAUCUAGCUUCAACUUCUACCACUACUGUUUGAAUUGUUUAUGGAGAAACAGAGUAGUAACCUUGCAACUCAAUUGAUUGAAGGUUUGUGUAGUUUUCUGCGCAAAUGUAUUUGUGCAAUUCUUUCUGCUGGUUCUCUUCCAAGGCAUGUGGCAUUUAUCAUGGAUGGAAAUCGAAGAUAUGCCAAGAAGGAAGGCUUACUUGAAGGACAUGGGCAUAGGGUUGGAUUCACAGCUCUUAUGAAUAUGUUGAAGUAUUGCUAUGAGAUGAAUGUCAAGUAUGUUACUGUGUAUGCUUUCAGCAUUGAAAACUUCAAACGACGUCCAGAAGAAGUCCAAUCCACUAUGCAGUUGAUACAGGAAAAGAUUGAAUCAUUGCUUGAGAAAGAGAGUAUUGUCAACCAGUAUGGAGUGAGAGUGCACUUCAUUGGAAACCUUAAACUUUUGAGCAAACCCGUCAGGCUCGCUGCUGAAAGAGCUAUGAAUGCCACUGCACAUAAUUCGACGGCCACGCUUGCAAUAUGCAUUGCCUACACAUCAACAGAUGAAAUAACAAAUUCUGUCGAAGAAGCAUGUAAAGUAAAAAUGGAUGAACUAGGAGGGAAUGAAACUGACAGCAAGGAGCCUCAUAUUGAUGUGGCAGAUGUCGAGAAACAUAUGUAUAUGGCAGUUGCACCUGAUCCAGAUAUUAUAAUCCGCUCGUCCGGUGAGACUCGACUAAGCAAUUUCCUCCUGUGGCAGAGUGCAUCUUCCCUUCUUUACUCCCCAAGGGCGCUUUGGCCAGAGAUUGGGUUUUACCAUUUGGUCCGAGCAAUCUUGGACUUCCAAAGGAAUGUCACUUCUUUGGAAACUAAGCUGAAACAGAGUUAGAUUCGCCAGUUUCUGCACUUUCAACUGCUAAUCCACUGACGUUUCCCCAUGAUGAUGAAAGAAGUUAAAUUGAAUGCUAUCUUGUAUAUAUCUUGACUGAGUUGACGGGAAUCUCAUCCAUGGUUUUUACUCGACCAUGUGACGCAACUACACUCUUGGCAUAUAAUCUUCGUAAUCUUGGUUUCAAGGCUAUUCCAAUUAAUGGCCACAUGA
This is an RNA transcript of Salvia splendens (bonfire salvia), 1355 nucleotides long. It is a transcript of the gene named dehydrodolichyl diphosphate synthase CPT3-like, with no coding region annotated. The record is from RefSeq and is a predicted model, not a curated record. Lineage: Eukaryota; Viridiplantae; Streptophyta; Magnoliopsida; Lamiales; Lamiaceae. The transcript is spliced from 3 exons.